UUUUCCAUAACUCUGAGGUGCGAAGUGGUUCUGACCUUUUGGUACAGAGAAGUCAUUGAUGCCCGGCUUCCAGGAAAAGCUGCUAGCCAUAACUUAUAGAGAACCGUACCGCAAACCGACACAGGUGGACAGGUAGAGAAUACUAAGGCGCUUGAGAGAACUCGGGUGAAGGAACUAGGCAAAAUGGUACCGUAACUUCGGGAGAAGGUACGCCCUUUCUGGUGAUGGGAUUUACUUUCAGAGCUGGAGAGGGCCGCAGAGACCAGGUGGCUGCGACUGUUUAUUAAAAACACAGCACUCUGCAAAUUCGUAAGAAGACGUAUAGGGUGUGACGCCUGCCCGGUGCCGGAAGGUUAAUUGAUGGGGUUAUCUUCGGAGAAGCUCUUGAUCGAAGCCCCGGUAAACGGCGGCCGUAACUAUAACGGUCCUAAGGUAGCGAAAUUCCUUGUCGGGUAAGUUCCGACCUGCACGAAUGGCGUAACGAUGGCCACACUGUCUCCACCCGAGACUCAGUGAAAUUGAAAUCGCUGUGAAGAUGCAGUGUACCCGCGGCUAGACGGAAAGACCCCGUGAACCUUUACUAUAGUUUUGCACUGGACUUUGAUGAUGACUGUGUAGGAUAGGUGGGAGGCUGUGAAGUGAGGACGCUAGUUCUCAUGGAGCCGCCCUUGAAAUACCACCCUGUUGUUAUUGAGGUUCUAACUUGGUCCAGUAAUCCUGGAUGAGGACAGUGUAUGAUGGGUAGUUUGACUGGGGCGGUCUCCUCCCAAAGAGUAACGGAGGAGCACAAAGGUACCCUCGGUACGGUCGGACAUCGUACCAAGAGUGUAAAGGCAAAAGGGUGCUUGACUGCGAGAGUGACGGCUCGAGCAGGAACGAAAGUUGGUCUUAGUGAUCCGGUGGUUCUGAAUGGAAGGGCCAUCGCUCAACGGAUAAAAGGUACUCCGGGGAUAACAGGCUGAUACCGCCCAAGAGUUCAUAUCGACGGCGGUGUUUGGCACCUCGAUGUCGGCUCAUCACAUCCUGGGGCUGAAGCAGGUCCCAAGGGUAUGGCUGUUCGCCAUUUAAAGUGGUACGCGAGCUGGGUUUAGAACGUCGUGAGACAGUUCGGUCCCUAUCUGCCGUGGGCGUAGGAAAAUUGAGAGGAGCUGCUCCUAGUACGAGAGGACCGGAGUGGACGAACCUCUGGUGCACCGGUUGUCACGCCAGUGGCAUGGCCGGGUAGCUAAGUUCGGACGGGAUAACCGCUGAAAGCAUCUAAGCGGGAAGCCUCCCUCAAGAUGAGUUUUCCCAUGAAGCCCGUUGAAGACUACGACGUUGAUAGGCAAGGUGUGGAAGCGCAGUAAUGCGUGAAGCUAACUUGUACUAAUUGGCUGAUUGUCUUGACCAUAUAA
Molecule: ribosomal RNA, 1394 nt
Filed under: Legionella pneumophila
Lineage: Bacteria; Pseudomonadati; Pseudomonadota; Gammaproteobacteria; Legionellales; Legionellaceae
Description: partial 23S ribosomal RNA
Rfam family: Bacterial large subunit ribosomal RNA
Source: RNAcentral